RNAcentral lists this ribosomal RNA (764 nucleotides) under uncultured bacterium. Its description in RNAcentral is "bacterial SSU rRNA". It matches the Rfam family "Bacterial small subunit ribosomal RNA", at positions 129 to 896 of the family's 1533-position model. The record is from RNAcentral.
CCUUUGUCUGGGGCAUAGCCCGGAGAAAUCCGGAUUAACUCCCCAUAAUAUGGACUGGUGGCAUCACCAGGUCAUUAAAAAUUUAUGGACAGAGAUGAGUGUGCGUCCCAUAGCUAGUUGGUAGGGUAACGGCCUACCAAGGCGACGAUGGGUAGCUGGUGUGAGAGCACGACCAGCCACACGGGCACUGAGACACGGGCCCGACUCCUACGGGAGGCAGCAGUGAGGAAUAUUGGUCAAUGGACGCAAGUCUGAACCAGCCAUGCCGCGUGAAGGAUGAAGGCCUUCUGGGUUGUAAACUUCUUUUAUGUGGGAAGAAACCUCUGAUUUCUAUUAGAGUUGACGGUACCAUAGGAAUAAGCACCGGCUAACUCCGUGCCAGCAGCCGCGGUAAUACGGAGGGUGCAAGCGUUAUCCGGAUUUACUGGGUUUAAAGGGUGCGUAGGUGGCUUUGUAAGUCAGUGGUGAAAGCCCGGAGCUCAACUCCGGAACUGCCAUUGAUACUGCUUAGCUUGAAUCACGUCGAGGUGGAUGGAAUAUUACAUGUAGCGGUGAAAUGCUUAGAUAUGUAAUAGAACACCGAUUGCGAAGGCAGUUCACUAGGCGUGUAUUGACACUGAGGCACGAAAGCGUGGGGAUCAAACAGGAUUAGAUACCCUGGUAGUCCACGCCCUAAACGAUGUAAACUCGACGUUAGCGAUAUACAGUUAGCGUCCAAGCGAAAGCGUUAAGUUUACCACCUGGGAAGUACGACCGCAAGGUUG